Molecule: ribosomal RNA, 663 nt
Filed under: Salmonella enterica subsp. enterica
Lineage: Bacteria; Pseudomonadati; Pseudomonadota; Gammaproteobacteria; Enterobacterales; Enterobacteriaceae
Description: partial 23S ribosomal RNA
Rfam family: Bacterial large subunit ribosomal RNA
Source: RNAcentral
GGCGAGGGGAGUGAAAAAGAACCUGAAACCGUGUACGUACAAGCAGUGGGAGCACAGGUUUACCUGUGUGACUGCGUACCUUUUGUAUAAUGGGUCAGCGACUUAUAUUCUGUAGCAAGGUUAACCGUAUAGGGGAGCCGGAGGGAAACCGAGUCUUAACCGGGCGUUAAGUUGCAGGGUAUAGACCCGAAACCCGGUGAUCUAGCCAUGGGCAGGUUGAAGGUUGGGUAACACUAACUGGAGGACCGAACCGACUAAUGUUGAAAAAUUAGCGGAUGACCUGUGGCUGGGGGUGAAAGGCCAAUCAAACCGGGAGAUAGCUGGUUCUCCCCGAAAGCUAUUUAGGUAGCGCCUCGUGAAUUCAUCUCCGGGGGUAGAGCACUGUUUCGGCUAGGGGGCCAUCCCGGCUUACCAACCCGAUGCAAACUGCGAAUACCGGAGAAUGUUAUCACGGGAGACACACGGCGGGUGCUAACGUCCGUCGUGAAGAGGGAAACAACCCAGACCGCCAGCUAAGGUCCCAAAGUCAUGGUUAAGUGGGAAACGAUGUGGGAAGGCCCAGACAGCCAGGAUGUUGGCUUAGAAGCAGCCAUCAUUUAAAGAAAGCGUAAUAGCUCACUGGUCGAGUCGGCCUGCGCGGAAGAUGUAACGGGGCUAAACCAU